GAUGAACGCUGGCGGCGUGCCUAAUACAUGCAAGUCGAGCGAACAGACGAGGAGCUUGCUCCUCUGACGUUAGCGGCGGACGGGUGAGUAACACGUGGAUAACCUACCUAUAAGACUGGGAUAACUUCGGGAAACCGGAGCUAAUACCGGAUAAUAUAUUGAACCGCAUGGUUCAAUAGUGAAAGACGGUUUUGCUGUCACUUAUAGAUGGAUCCGCGCCGCAUUAGCUAGUUGGUAAGGUAACGGCUUACCAAGGCAACGAUGCGUAGCCGACCUGAGAGGGUGAUCGGCCACCCUGGAACUUAAACACGGUCCGAGAUCCUACGGGAGGCAGCAGUAGGGAAUCUUCCGCAAUGGGCGAAAGCCUGACGGAGCAACGCCGCGUGAGUGAUGAAGGUCUUCGGAUCGUAAAACUCUGUUAUUAGGGAAGAACAAAUGUGUAAGUAACUAUGCACGUCUUGACGGUACCUAAUCAGAAAGCCACGGCUAACUACGUG
This 497-nucleotide ribosomal RNA is filed under the name uncultured bacterium. RNAcentral describes it as "partial 16S ribosomal RNA". It matches the Rfam family "Bacterial small subunit ribosomal RNA", at positions 28 to 507 of the family's 1533-position model. The record is from RNAcentral.